AUGCUUUCACAACUUGACUUCAAAAUAUUUGGUUUGGAGACCAUCAAAGAUCAAUAUGUGCAUGAUGCUGAUUUUAAAGAUGUAAUGCAGAAUUGUAAAGAAGGAAGAAUGUGGAACAAGUUUGUCGUUAACGAUGGAUUUGUGUUUCGUGCUAACAAGCUAUGCAUUCCAGCUAGCUCCGUUCGUCUUUUGUUGUUGCAGGAGGCGCAUGGAGGAGGAUUAAUGGGACACUUUGGCGUGAAGAAGACGGAGGACGUACUUGCUACACAUUUCUUUUGGCCGAAGAUGAGACGGGAUGUUGAGCGGGCUGUUUUGAAGAAUAAUAAGAAAAUGUGGGAGGAAUGCUUGCCUCAUAUUGAAUUUGCUUAUAAUCGUUCAUUGCAUUCUACUACUAAGAUGUGCCCUUUUGAAGUUGUGUAUGGUUUCCUACCUCGUGCACCUAUUGAUUUGUUGCCUCUUCCAUCUUCGGAGAAGGUUAAUUUUGAUGCUAAACAACGUGCUGAAUUGAUUUUAAAAAUACAUGAGUUAACUAAGGAAAACAUUGAGCGUAUGAAUGCUAAAUAUAAACUUGCUGGAGAUAAGGGUAGAAAACAUGUUGUGUUUGCACCUGGAGAUCUUGUUUGGUUACAUUUGCGUAAGGAUAGAUUUCCUGAUUUGCGCAAAUCAAAGCUAAUGCCACGUGCUGAUGGUCCCUUUAAGGUGUUAGAGAAAAUAAAUGAUAAUGCAUAUAAACUUGAGCUGCCUGCAGAAUUUGGGGUUAGUCCCACUUUUAACAUUGCAGAUUUGAAGCCUUAUUUGGGUGAGGAAGAUGGACUUCCGUCGAGGACGACUUCAUUUCAAGAAGGGGAGGAUGAUGAGGACAUCAAUACAAUUGUUACACCCACAGCCCCUGCUGCUAUACAUACUGGACCAAUUACUAGAGCUCGUGCACGCCAACUAAAUUACCAGGAAACAGACCCUCGUGGUCAGGUUGAUCGUGCUCCGGCGUGGUCAAUAACCUCUCGGAGUUGGUUUAGCGAUUGCUAA
This 1026-nucleotide ribosomal RNA is filed under the name Triticum aestivum (bread wheat). RNAcentral's name for it is "partial small subunit ribosomal RNA". Lineage: Eukaryota; Viridiplantae; Streptophyta; Magnoliopsida; Poales; Poaceae. The record is from RNAcentral.